RNAcentral lists this ribosomal RNA (497 nucleotides) under uncultured bacterium. Its description in RNAcentral is "partial 16S ribosomal RNA". It matches the Rfam family "Bacterial small subunit ribosomal RNA", at positions 28 to 507 of the family's 1533-position model. The record is from RNAcentral.
GACGAACGCUGGCGGCGUGCCUAAUACAUGCAAGUUGAGCGCUGAAGGUUGGUACUUGUACCAACUGGAUGAGCAGCGAACGGGUGAGUAACGCGUGGGGAAUCUGCCUUUGAGCGGGGGACAACAUUUGGAAACGAAUGCUAAUACCGCAUAAAAACUUUAAACACAAGUUUUAAGUUUGAAAGAUGCAAUUGCAUCACUCAAAGAUGAUCCCGCGUUGUAUUAGCUAGUUGGUGAGGUAAAGGCUCACCAAGGCGAUGAUACAUAGCCGACCUGAGAGGGUGGUCGGCCACAUUGGGACUGGGGCACGGCCCAAACUCCUUCGGGAGGCAGCAGUAGGGAAUCUUCGGCAAUGGACGAAAGUCUGACCGAGCAACGCCGCGUGAGUGAAGGAGGUUUUCGGAUCGUAAAACUCUGUUGGUAGAGAAGAACGUUGGUGAGAGUGGAAAGCUCAUCAAGUGACGGUAACUACCCAGAAAGGGACGGCUAACUACGUG